RNAcentral lists this ribosomal RNA (253 nucleotides) under uncultured bacterium. Its description in RNAcentral is "partial 16S ribosomal RNA". It matches the Rfam family "Bacterial small subunit ribosomal RNA", at positions 524 to 776 of the family's 1533-position model. The record is from RNAcentral.
GACGAACCGUGCGAACGUUGUUCGGAAUCACUGGGCUUAAAGGGUGCGUAGGCGGGUCAUCAAGUCCGGGGUGAAAUCCUCCCGCUCAACGGGAGAAGUGCCUUGGAUACUGGUGGUCUUGAGUGGGGUAGGGGCAUGUGGAACUCCCGGUGGAGCGGUGAAAUGCGUAGAUAUCGGGAGGAACGCCGGUGGCGAAAGCGACGUGCUGGACCCCUUCUGACGCUGAGGCGCGAAAGCGUGGGGAGCAAACAGG